GGGCGCUGAGACGUGUCUCCCGUGGCUCUCGCCAUGGGGACUCCUGAGUGGCCUGCCUGCCUGCCUACCCCGCUCUCUGUCUGUCUGCCUGUCUGUCUGUCUGUCUGUCUGUCUGCCCACCAUGGGCGGCCAGCAUGUGGGGUCCUGCGCAUCCCUGAAACUCCUUUACCUGCAGCAGGUUCAGGAACUCGAAAGUCUCCAUCUCAAACCCGAAAGAUCCGUCCACCAGCAACAGCACCAGAUCUGCGUAUUUAGCAGCGUCCUGGCAGCAAGGGCAUGGGCAUGGGCAGCGCCCAUGGCAAGGGAGAAGAGGUAGAGGUGGGUGUGCGCGGUGCAGUGCAGCGGCCGACCGGGAUUGCGUGAACGCAAGGGAGGCUCUGGGAGGCAGGCCUUGCAUGGGGUUGCGCGGUGCAGGUAUGGAAAGACGGGACGUUAAAAGGACGGGCCGGCUUCAUGUUUCCCUGCACUUACUUCGAUACUUACUUCGGCCGCUCUUCACUGAAUUGCUUACUCCAUCUAAUCCGUGUAGCUAGCUUGCCGAGCUUGCUUUUGUCCUGUAAGUAUACUUUGUCCUGUAAGUAUACCAUGCUGCAAACACUACAUCCCCCUGCCCCCCUCCCUCCGCCUGGCAGCAGCUUCAAUCGUGUGUGGUUCGUCUUUCCCUCCCUCCGCCCGUGUGUUCCUGCUUUCCCAUCCUCCCAUCAACCCCGUCCAUCUCACGCCACUUCGACACGGCAUCUUUGCGGCAAGCUCCCCAUGCAUCCCUGCCGAUCCGUGUUAGCAGCCUCGGUUUCCUUGCGCUGGCUGGGACUUCGUUUGCCGUCCAUAUUCCAUGCAUUGCAGUACAGAACAACCCUGCGCUUUGCUUAGUUAACUGAAAUCGACUGACUCAAGGUAUCUUCCACGGCUGUUGCACGCGUCCCUGUGCUUCACCCACCGGCUGCAUACAAAAAUACUACAAAAACACCGAUAUCAGCGUACACGGAGCCUCGUCACAUCAACAUACUGUUUCGGCUUCGGCCCCCGGCUCUCGCGGCCCACAGUGUAAUCUAAGUCAUACUGUUAACUUAUUGAUACAUCCACACUUAGUAGGCAUGCGUUUGUCAUGGCUCAUAGGGGAGCCAUGUUGGCAAGUCCCCCCUGUUGGCACCAGCAGUGCUAGUCCGGUCUUAUUAGUCGUAGCCGAGCUUGCUGAUGUGUUGUGCGUGCCUAUUACCGCGACAGGCGAUGUGCCCUUUGGCUCGGUUUCUUUGCUUUACAGUGUAAAAACUUGGUAGCCCGCUGUAACAACAACAACGACAACAACAUCCGCACUGAUCAGACAUAACUUUUUUUACUUUGCUAGCGCCCAUGCCCUUCAAAUCACUUACUCCCCAACUUCACCGCAGCACCAUCACUUCAUGCAGAGAAACACACGCGAAUCGGCGCGCACAGGUCGCCACUCACCAUCAUGCCGCACAAGUCCGACGGGCAUUCUACUAGCGUGAUGCGGCGCUUCUUGCCCGCUACCACGGUGAUAGGCCCGCGCACGUCCGACAGAUUUUGCCGCGUGUAGUGCUUCACAAGGCAGCGGAUGAGCGUUGACUUGCCCACCUGUCACAAGGCCCGUGGACCAGGGCCCCCCGUCAAUGGCAAUCGACGAGGCGGAGGGACUGAGGCUAACCCGCGGAAGAACACAGGUCCCAAGACACAGCUCAAUAAAAGAGUAGGCUCCUCAAUACGCGGUUACGAACAUAACAAAAGUCAAGCAACAUUUCCUGCAGUGGAAAAGUAGGAGUACCUAGUCAGACGGAUUGCUGCAAAUGAUGCAUAUGGCGUUGGAGUUGGGGAACACAGAUGACUGUGCUCAUGGGGCCGGCGCGCCGGUGGGGGGCGGGUUUGAUAACUCAUCCAGAGCGGUUAGUUAGCACGUCGAAAAGCAUUAGCGAAACCUCAUGGCCUGCCGUAUCACAACCAGCAUUUUGUUCCACGAUGAGUAAAUCUUUUGGACAGGUUGUGCCCAGCAGCACAACGCGUUUGGUGCGCAUGCCGCCCUCCAUGCUAUUUCCGCGUUCGGUGCCGCGGAGGGCUUUCAAUACAGCCCUUCCCUUGCCAAACCCUUGCGAGACCAUGCCGAAAAACGCUGCCACCAGCCAACGGCUUCACUGCAGAUAGCCAGAUGCUUCACUUACCCCUGGAGGACCCUGGACCAAUACCACGAAGGGGGGCGGCUCCUCUGCUGCCUUGUCCAGGAGGGGGGCUAGGUGCCGCGGCAGCAGAGGGCACAUUAGCAGGGUGUUGAGUCAGGGACAGGAAGGGGAAUCAGAAGCAGGUUAGAUGAAAAGAUAGUCGCGGUUAUUCGGCACACCCAGUUGCCGCCUCAGAGACGCUCACCUCGGAACCCCAGUCCUGCCCGGGAACCUAUCGAUAUCCAUUUUGCCCCCCAAGGACCACAUAGGCGCUUUCCCCCUGGCCUCCCCGCUUGAGCUUGAUCGUUCCCGCAUAACAUGCCGCCUUGCGCCUUACCGUGUAAUCGACGCUGCUCCCUCUCCGCACUGCGCGCUUGCUGGGCUUUGGCCUUGUUUGCAGACUGGAAGGCGAACGCCUUGGGGUUUUGCUUCCGCUGUUCAUCCGUGACACCCCGCUUCUUUUUGUCAGCUGCUUUCCGCUUCUCCGCCUUCUUGCCGGUUUUCGACUUCCGAUGCUCCUUGCCGGCCAUCGCGAUAGCGAAACUCUUCAGCUAGCUUAGCUAGAGCCUCGCACAAAUAUUCCGUUCAACGUAGCGUAGGUGGCUUCUUAAGCCAAAUAAGCACGCACCGCCGCCGACAGUAAUCGGCGGCCCACGGUCCUCUACGGUCAGCCUAGUACUGUGAGCCUUCGUUGAUACUAUGCGUGCUGCAAAUCCUUAAAACCUAGGAAAACCUAAGGGGGAGUCCGCGAUAUGAGUGAAUAGACAACACGUUAUCGUUACAAGACAACACCCAAGACCCAAUGGGUGUUGCCGAAAUAUAGUAACAAGAUGUGGUUGCAAAAUUUACACUAAGCAAUUAUAAAUUGUCUCUAAUUGCCAACAAGGUAAGUCCGUAUAAUGAUGCACCGAGUUGUAACAUGAUUCAACAUAUUAAUUUGGAGCAAAAUAACCAAGUGAGGAUAAUCAAUCUGUGACGUGCGAUGAAAGGAUGACCGCAUCUCAGCAUGCAGUGACGGGAUGUUGUACGCGCGGCAUGCAUAGCAUGAGGAAAACAAGCGGGAGCCCAGGCCUAAUGGACUGACUUUCUUUAUGCUGUGUCACGGCCUUAUGACGUCUAACGUUUCUUGGACAAUAUGGGAUAGUUCCAAUCUUUCCUCAGUACAAGGUCAGGUCUUAGCUCUAAACAAGGUCUUGUCUUUUCUUAGGGUGUACGCCUGGAAAAGCCCUUUGCUCAUGUGCUUAAUGAAAGCCUUUCCCUUGUGAGGCACUGUUUGGCCAUCUUCGGAGGUCAGCUGUGGGGCCAAGGGCCAGGCAGCCUCAAUAGACCAUGCACAUCAAACAGGUCCGAUUGGACGCACAUAGCGUAUGAUCGUACUCAAAGCAUUUUUGGAGCUGUACGUGUUAUACCGGAUGCGGCGGCUGUCGCUGUCAACUGUCGUUACAGGUCCUCAUUGAGGGCUUUAAAAGCUACAAGGACCAGACGCACACGGAGGAUUUUGAUCCCAAAAUUAAUGUAGUUGGUAAGUAGCUCUCCAGGGCCUUGUAAACACCGUAGAAGCCGUGACAUAUGUCAAACCAGCUGUUUUUCCUUAUGGCUGACUGCAGUGGGCGCAAAUGGCUCGGGAAAGUCCAACUUUUUCCACGGUAUGCUGAGGGGUAGGGCUGAGGAAAGGCCCAAGUGCUCAAAGGGCGGGGGCGAGGUUUCGUGUUAUAUUUGGGGACGAGCAGCUUGGGCCUUGGUAACAUGGGCAUGGGCAUGUGCAGAGGCCGGGAACACGAGGACCUGCGCUACUUGCCUCCCUCCGUCCGUCCCUCUAAUGCGCAAACGGCCGCUUCAUACGUAUUAACUUGUACUAAUACCCGCCUUUGCAACCAAUGUCAUGCAGCGAUUCGGUUCGUCCUUAACGAUGCAUUUAUCAACAUGCGAGGGGACGAGCGGCUCCAGCUGUUACACGUGAGUUGCCUACCACAUACCCUCGCAAAAAAUGUAGUCACAUGCUGGGCCUGGACUCAAUGCAGCGCGUCGGCUGACACGAUACGACCGGAGGAGCUGCAUGAAUUGAUUUGAUUAAUGUUUCGUGAACCGACUUACAUUUCAGCAAUGCAUAUGUACACAAAGUUUCAUGACCCCCACAUCGAUCUGGGUCAACGCGGGAUCCCAUGUCAUGUACACCAAGCACGAACGGCGCUUGCCUUGCUAUUUUGAACAUUGCUGCAGGAGGGUGCUGGACAUCGAAUGUCCAGCGCUUGGGUGGAACUCGUGUUCGACAACUCAGACGGGCGCUUUCCGGUGAGUUUCGUUGCGCGCUAUGAGUCUAAGCCCCGUGCGAGUAGUUGAGCGUGAGGGGGACAGGGCGCAGUGUGUUGACGCGCCGUGAGUGCUGGCACGUGGUAUUCUCGCGUUGAACUGGGUUCACGGGUUCAGUGUUACCGUCCAUCCUCUCGCUUAGCAGGCUCCGCGCCGAACACCCAUGGGGGUGAACGCAGAAUUACCCUGCCAGGCUAUACUAUUGAGGCAUCUUCCUGUUUCUAUCAAAGAGACGGCGGGUGCGUCAUCACGUGACUACGACUUGCGUAACUCAUCGGCCUUUUAUCGCUGCAUGCUUUCCUCCCAACUACCGGGUUGGAUCAAUUUAGAUUGACCGCAGUGAGAUCCGAUUGCGGCGUACAAUUACUGCUAAAAAGGACGACUACACACUGGACAAAAAACACAUCAAGUAAGUGGGGAACUGACGGGGGGGAGUGCCGCGCUGACUGUUUCUUUGGGCCUUAUGUGGGGUUCUUCAUAAGGCCCUGGUUUGCAUGAACCACAUCAGGGCUGCAAAGCCAGUAACAUGAGCCCUCGGAUGUGUUUGACCGGGUUGUAUGGAGGUUGGGCAGCAAACUAAGCAGCGCCUGAGGCGCCAUCGUGCGACCGUUUCUGGGGUAUAAUGGCCAGCCAGGGAUGCAGACAGAGCCUGUGGGGGCCAGAGUCUGUCACGGGCUCGGCAACGCGGUGCAGGUGGCUGCCCGCCUCACAAAACAAGCAGGCGUGUGCUGCAUUUGUUGCGAUUUGCUGCUGUCUGUUACACCUGCUGAGAAGCUGGGCCUUAUGGCAUACGCACCCGCAGCAAGUCCGAGGUGAGCAAUCUCCUGGAGAGCGCCGGGUUCAGCAAGAGCAACCCAUAUUACAUCGUGCAGCAGGUAAUUGGCUGCGGGUGGUUCGGGGGAUAAUGACUCUCGUAUUACACGGACGGCUGUGCUGUGUCGCGCUGUGUAGAUUUACUGUACGAUUGUAGCGCACUAUUAUUACAUAGCGCAACACAGCCCUUUUUACUGUUUCUUGAGUUAAAUAAACGAAGGCCUGGUACACGUUGUGCUCAUGCGGCUCUCUACCAUCCACAGCAGCUCGGCCAAGGUGUCCUCCUCUCCUCGCGCUGAUCCCUGGCUCGGGGCCCUGGGGCCGCGCAUUUCGGAAACGUUGGAACGUCUAGGCCGCUUAGCUGCUGGGACAAGCUGCAGUACCUCCAUGUUUUUUGCUAUGGGUCCUCCCCUUCGCAGGGCAAGAUCACUGCCAUGGCCGCCAUGUCGGACGCGCAGCGUAUGGAGCUUCUCAAGGAGAUUGGAGGUGCUCGCGUGUACGAGGAGCGGCGCAAGGAGAGCCUGCUGAUUUUGCAAGAGACGGACAGCCGCGGGCAACAGAUCAAGAGCACGGUAAGGCAACUCCCAUGACGCACGGCAUGGAUUCCAGGAUUAUAGCCGUUUUGAACGUUGACAGCUCGUGGUUGGUUCCGGAGGCAAGGCAGGACGAUAUAUAUUGCAACUGAGCCUGAGCCAGGUAUUUGUUUCUGAUUUGGGCUGUUCUGGGGAACGGGCGACAUUGUGACAACCGACGUGACGCGGUGAUGUGUGAAGAUAGGCGCUCGCGGCAGCACCCGUCUAAGGGGCACAGAGCUUACAAACACUGCUUGCGCACCCUGGAGGACGUCGCACGUGCAAGAGAUGGGGGGUCUCCCACUACAAAGGGCUACAGCAGCUAUCAAUCGCUGUCCAUACUUCCUAUAUGCCGCCUCCUCCGCAUGCUCCUUCUCAUCCCAGCUUUCGGAGCUCGAGGACAAGUUGAAGGAGCUGGACACAGAGCGCGCCGAGUUGUUGGAGUUCCAGCAGCUGGACCGCCGGCGGCGCUGCUUGCAGUACACCCUGUACGACAAGGAGCUGACUAAGGCGCAUGCUGAUCUUGAAAAGGUGGGAUGGCUAACCUAAUUUGGUGAGCUAAGGCGUGCUGCGGCCCAGCAGGUGGAGUCCAUCAUGGACCAGGACAACGAUGUUGCAUUUGAAGAUUGCAGCACAGAUUGACUUCAAGGGAUUUGAAGUCAAGAGGUUAAUGUGGCAAUACCUGUCUAGGUUGACUUUGUGUGGUCGGUCCGUGUCUCAGCUGACACUCAGGUGCACACGUCGCCUUCCCAACAACGCGGUGUACCUCGAAGGGCCUGAACAUCCUGAGACGAGUACAAUCGCAAUGCGUUGUCCAUGGCGCAAGGAAACCAUGGUUCAACUGUAUGAAAACCCAGCCGUAGCCCACGUUUGUUUUUGGGACUUUCGUUCGUGGCUUCCACUCCAUUCUUUGGACUGGCUGGGUCAUCAUCUUCCAUUCCUGGCUUGACAGCAUAGCCAGCCUGGUUGAUUGUUUUUUGUCGACAUGCGCUGUCCACCGCUGUAUGCGUCGCAUGCUCACAUCUCAUAUUGCUGUAUGAGAUGCGACCCAGUUCGGACCGCCUGCUGCUGCAUCUGACCCGCAGUUGGAGCGGGAGGCCAGUCGCCUACGGGAGACGGUCGGUGCUGUGUCCGAUGACCAGGGCCGGCACUCCGCAGAGCUCAAGGACCUGGAGCGCCAGAUCCGUGCGCUGGAGGCGGAGUUUGGCGUGGCCGGGAACCAGGCGAAGGAGCUGCAGGUGAGGGCGGCGCGGUGUUUCCUUCUCAGGCGGUUCUUGUCUGCACCUCCCCACAGCCUGAAACGCGAGUCCUUUUGGAUAUAUCCCGUGUUUUAAACAACAUUCUCAGGACACAUAUGUCCGCAACAGCAAGCACAAGGUUGCGUCCUCUUGCAAUUGCGUCCUCUUGCAAACAACGUAAUUUCGUCGCGCGUGCUCGUCGUGUCGUUGUGGUCAGGCUCGCAAGCAGGAGCUGACGGCGCAGCGCUCGCGUGCGGAAGUGGAGAUGGACGAUCUGGGGCGGCGAAUUAGUCGCGCCGAGGUGUUGGCGGGCAGCGCACGAAAGGAGCUGGAAACGUUGCGGGCCAGCGUGGCGGAUGAGCAUGGCAAAAUGGAGAAGGUAUUAUGCUCGUGCUGCGGGGUAUGGCAGGGGUCGCCCGUAGGUCCCGGCGAAGGCACAGCAGGGUUGUUUAUGGUGUGUGGAGAAUCGAUACCUGAGUCCCGUUUGCAUUGUCCUCGUUUCGUUUCCAGAUUUCCAUCCCGUUCCCUUGCCUGUGCUUCCUUACAUCCGGAUUGCUCCGUGUCACGUGCAGCUGCGCGAGGCAGCUGCCAAUGCUGAGUCAGCCCACGCUGCUCUGCUGGCUCGCAUCACGGAGGCGGAGUCCCGGCUGGCAGCGCUCUACCGAAAGCAGGGGGCAAGCAGCCAGUACAAGUCAAGGGAGGAACGUGACGCUGCGCUGAGAAAGGAGGUGCGCAUGAGGCUCGGAAUCCCCUUCCUUUGCUCCAUUUGCCCCCAUUUCCUGCGCUGUUAGCGACGUCCUGCGACUGACGCAGCGAACACCCGUAAUGGCUCUCGGAGUCAAAAAAGCUCGGUUUGCUUCGGCUCGGCCUCGUUACGUUCUAGUUAUCAGGUUGCGUUGCCACUGACCGGCAGUGUUACCCGCUGCCAUCCAUGGUCUCCGGAGCCAUAAAAUCCCAUAAACCAUUCCCGUCGCGCGGUCGCCAACGUUAUCCCUCCCACCUGUGACCACAUCCUACACGGUGACUUACCACGACUACAUUCCAACCCACUCCUACCCUCAACACCCGGAUCCUCCUGCCCCCCUGUUCUAGAUUGCGGCCAAGGAGUCCAUGCUGGCCUCCAAGCGCCAGGGCCGCGACCGCCAGCAAGCUGAGAACCAGCAGCACAACGAGCUGCUUAUGGAGCUCAGUCAAACCAUCGGGGACCUGGACGGUGGGUGGUUGUGCGGGCUGGGGGAACGAAGCUGCUGGGGCAACAGGAAAAAGGGGCAACUGGAAAGGGGCAACAGGAAAGGAGGCGGUGCGGGCGGCGAAUGGGAUCUGCAGCGGGAGGGAUCUGGCGUGGCUUGUACAAUACGGUCUGGCGCCUUGUGGCGGUGAAUGAGAGCGGGCAGCACCGGGUGGGGAUUCGUGGGCGAUUUGUGCGUGGAGGGGGAGUUGGAGAAAAGCUGCGGGUAUUGGAUUGCGAUAGGUGUCCCUGGAGUUGGAGUUCAGGUUGGGUUUGGGCGAGCGAGGGUGUGGGGUGUCGCGUAAAGACCCUUGGCGCGUACUCUUAGUGACAGCGCAGGGUACUGACUCUGGGCAGCGUCCGUUGAGUUUUUUGGGAAUCUUUGCAAGGUUUCCAAUAGCGCCUGAGGGAUAAAUGCAAAGGUACUGCCAAACCAGCGUAUGUAGCACCGCCCCGUGAACAGAUAGGACGGGAGCGAUGGUGCCCAUGGCCUGUCAUGGCGUCUAUGGUUUUUUGGCUUGAGAUUUAAUUCAGUCGUCGCUUUCCUUCUAUUUUGUCGUACCGUGAGCUUGCACGACGGCGCCUAUACCUAUUCGGGGCCUGCACAUCCAACAUCUCAUUGCACACCUCGUGACGCCCUGCAGCGGAGGUCCAAACUUUGGAGGCCCGAGUGGUGGAGGCGGACAAGCAGUACGCGGAGGCGUCGGCAGCCCGCGCCAAGCUGCAUGACGACCGGAAGGCCAAGCAACGUGAGGAGGAGUUUGCGGAGAGGGCGGUCCGCGCUGCCGUGGACAACGCCAAGGCCAUGCAGCAGGUGUGCUGCGCUGCACUGCGGGGAUGCGGGGGAUACAGUUAAUGCCGGAAUGCGGGGAAUACAGUUAAUGCCGGGAUGCGGGGAAUACAGUUAACUGUAACAAGGGGUUCCCCCCGGGUGGGCGUGUAGCUUGUGUGGAGUGCACCAACCAGGUGGUAUUCACAUGACUCUUAUAGCAGCUAGCUAGCUCUGUAGCGGUAGUCUGCACCGGAGGUUCGGUUGUACGGGUAGUUAUGCACCGACAGUCUGUCCUGUUUCGAGCCUUCGACCUGACUGUGCUAUCUUACUUUUCCCAAGGGGAGCUAUGCAUCAAGGAUACUGGUACGAGAAGGUGCGGUAUGGGGAGUGUUCUGGACGGUGGAAGGACGGCAAAGGCAACGGACUGACAGUCCGAAGCUGAUGAAGUGGGUUCGCGACCACCGCCUCGCUCUUGCAUCGCUCCAACAGCAAUUGGAGCAACGGAAAAAUAUAUAGCUGUUGUAACAGCUUUACAGAUAUGUUAUAUAUUGCCUUAACAAGAUUUUUUUUUUGCAAUGGUGCCAAUAACUUUCCACUUGUCGGCCCCCUCCGACCUUCCGCCUUCCGUCGCCACCUUGCAGUCGUACGACAAGUGCAUGCCGGGAGACGUGCGAAAGGGCAUGCAGGGUCUGGACACGCUCCGGCGGCAGUUCGGAGCGGACAUGCAGGGCGUGCACGGCGCAGUCAUUGAGCACAUCCGGACGCACGAGACCUUCCACGUCGCCAUCGACACGAUUGCAGGUGGUAUGGGACUGGAUGGGUGAGGACUGGGGUAAGGACACAGAUUCAUGCUGGAGUUGAAAGGCGGGGGCCUUGAUAAUAUAAUGAUAAUAUAGUACCUGAGUUGCUGCUGCCCAGCUGCCUUGCUCAGAAGAGAUGUGGAAGAAACUAGGGAAAGGCUUACACGUCCUCUUGGACCUUGCACCAUUUAAACUUGUGGUGGAGUUACCGGGAGUCGGAAUGUCCUGCUGGUCCAUCCUGCACGCAUUCACGGCACAGGAGGGAGGGGCCAUUGCUCCGUCCCGGCCUGCACUUCUGCGGACUGCCGGCUUGGCAGGGGGCUGUCUUGCUGGUCCCGCCUUUCGCCCCGUGAUCAAUCGUUGCCUGCCGCACCUGCGACCCUCAGGCAAUCACUUGUUCGACGUGCUGGUUGAGAGCGACGAGGUGGCGGCUCGGCUGAUACGGCAGCUGCACGAGCGAAACUUGGGCCGGGCCACUUUUGUGCCGCUCAACAGGGUGGGCACGCUGCCCGACAUUGAACCUCCCAGCCAGUAAGCAGUUUUUUUCCUGGUUUCAGCUGAGGGCGUUCAGGGUACGGUACCUUCUCUUAGUGCAGGUUCUCCGCUCACUUGGCCACCACUGCGUAAAUUAUUUUCCAACCAAUGUCCAAAUGGUGCCUCUAUCCGCGGCGGCAAACUCGAAUAUGGCCAACUAAUUAUUUUCACGGGUUCUUUCACUAUUGUCGUUGUGCCACCCGCCGUCGCCGCCGCCACUGGGUCAAUGCAGAUUCGGCACGGACGUGGUGCCCAUGCUGCGCAAGAUUCAAACCGAUCCGAGGUUUCGCCCCGCCAUGAAGGACAUGUUCGGCCAGGCGCUGCUCUGCAAGGACAAGAACGUGGCCACUGAGGUGCGUAGGGCAGGGGUGGUCGGAAUCAGAUGCCGCACGAUAGAUGGCGACCUCCUGCAUUCAUUUCCCCUUUGCUUGGAUUUUCGGCUUAAUCCUUUUUAGUGUUAUUGCCUCGCAAAACAAGCACCCACGUCCUUGUGGCCCGCUGGCAGUGCAUUCUGACAACGCGCGGCUGAUCCUCAUCCUUGACCCGCAGGUUUGCCGCUCGACAGACAAGUUUGACUGUGUCACGCUGGACGGCGAGAAGUUCGGGCGGCGGGGCAACAUCAGCGGCGGCUACCUGCCACAGAACCGUGCGCGGCUGGCAGUGUUCAACGCGCUGAUUGCGGCACGGCGGGAGGUGCGCACGAAACCGAUCGGCGGCAGCUCCCCCGCUCAACUUUGCCAUGCUUUGCCCAUGUCAUGGAUGUCCAUGCCAAGAUGAGCACCGUCUGAUAUGUUCUUGACUUUAGGGCCAUGGGAACUCCGUGCCUACUGUGCCUAUUGCGCCUGCGGUCCCAUCUGACUGGCGCGCGGUUUCCGCCUCGCCUCGCUUCGCCAUCGCAACUAGCCUAACCACAGAAACCUUGCACAGUACCAGAUGAAUACUCCUCUACCAGUAACGCCUGCAUCCUCCCUGAUAGUCCGGUUACCCGCGCGGAAGCUGGGACCCCGUACCGCCCUCCCGGCGAUACACUCUUUCCCUGCCCUUUCAACUCCUGAGUUUCUUUUCACCGCGCGGGGCCCCGCGCCGGUGUGUGUGUGUGUGUGUCUUGGCGGCAGGUGACCCAGCUGCAGCAGAAGCAAAAGGAGGUCAGCGAUGCGGCGGUGGCCCUGAGUGAGGCGUUCGAGGCCGCCGCUCGCAAGGUGGAGGAGCUGGAGGUAAAGCGGCGUAAGCUGCGGGACGAGGCCCGCAGCCGCAAAGUGGAUCUCAAGGUCCGGCGUGACGAGGAGGUGGAGAUACGGCGCCAGGUGGAGGCACACGAGCGCACGUUGGCGACGUACGAGGCGGACAUUGGGCGAAUACAGGUGAGGCAGGCGGGGACCAGGAGGCGGGGGUGAGGUUUGGGCAUGACUGCCGGCGGUAUCGCAGGGUGUAGAGGCCUACGCGCGGAAGGCGUGAUGUUGUGGGUGGUAAGGGUAACAUAUCCUUGACACACGGCAGCUCGAGUGGCAAGUAGGCGGGGGCGUGUGUGGCAGGUGUGCGAAGCCGGGAUGGAAAAGCCGACAGCGCGCUGGCGCGCGUUGUUUGACGGCUGGUCCUGGCUGAGAGGAUGUGCGUCAAAAGGACAUCGCGCGGCGUAUAUUCGAUGUGCCAAAAAAUGGUCCUUGGCUGAUUAGACUAAUUGAACAUGCGGGAUUCGACCCGGUGCCCCAGCGCGUGGGACUACGUGGCGAGCCCAAAGUUUUCUGCGAUUAUACAUCGAUUAUACAUUCAAUCUUCACUUUAGGAUUUUGCCUUCUUAGGACCCAUGCCCAUCCAACCCUUUCCCUUCCCCCUCGUCCAGGCCGACUUACAAACUCUACGCAGGGAGCUGGGGACCGAGAUGACGUCCAGACUGACCGCCGCGGAGCAGAGCGAGAUGACGUACGUUGGGGUGUUGUAGGGAGAAGACACGCAGGAAAGGUUAUUCUUUUCACACAACCAUCCAGGCCACGAUCACACCAAUUCCGGCGCGAGGCGACGCAGCAUGCGGCCAUGUCGUGUCUGCCCUUUCGUGACGCCUUCUUGGUGACGCCUUCGCGUCACGGCCCAAUCCCGCCUGCGCCAGCCUUGACACUUGACACAUUGGAUUCCCCGCGGUUCGAGAGCGCUACGCGGGGAUGAUGGCCUGCUGUUGCAUGCCCCUGAAGAGGCUCGAUCUUGGCCCACACUCCUUCGCUACAAGUUACACACACUAAUGGGGGGAAGGGGAGGGCGUCCGUAAAGCCAACGUGUGAUCUUUUUACCUUCCUGGGCUCGUGCCACUCCCUGCCUGCUGCAGGGGUCUGAACAUGUCUCUCCAGCAACUCCGAGACCAGCUGCGGCGAGCUGCCGAGAGCCGAGACCAGGCGCUGGCCGUUGUCGAGGCCGCGGAGGCCUACCUCAACGGCGUGCUCCUGCGCAACGUGGCCCAGUACGAGGAGGCGCUCACUACGGACGACGCGGUGAACGACAAGUGAGACGAUGAGACGCAGGGCUCCGUCUGCUGUGGUGCGGGGCUCUUGGGGGGAAUUGAAAAGGGUCGGAAGCGGCGUAGGCUUGUUAAUGUGGGCAUAUCGGCAGGAACAAAGGGAUUACCUGUCCUUGGGGCCCGUGCGGUGCUCACCGGGGCGCGCGAUCAGUUACCUUCUGCAGAAGUGCAAAAUUGUUAUCCAUAUGCACAUCAAGCAUGCGUACCUAUCAGGACAGACAGCUGGUUUUGCCGUGUGCAGUGCGGCGCAGCGCUUACAAGGUGAAAAUGCAAAAGGUGUUAACGUUUUGCCGUUGCUGCAGUGGCGCUCGCCAUGCCAUUCAUGCAGGGUGCUUAUCCGCCCGGCCUUGUUUAGCUCGUUAUUGCCGCCCGGUCUGUUUACCUCACAGGGCUACCCUGGCCCUACGCCAGGGGGACCUAGCCGCUCUGCAGCGGUCGCUGGAGGAGACGUCUCGCGCGGCUGCGGAGGCAGAGAAGCACGCGGUCUCGCUGGGCAGGCAGCUGGACCAACUGAAGCGCAAGCGGGAGGAGCUAAAGGACACGGCAGGAAAACAGGAGGCGGCAGGUAGGCGGGGCGGGGCGGGACGGGGCGGGACAGAUUGAUUAGGAUAUGGUCCAGGAAAUCGGUCACCAGUUACCCGGCCAGCUUGCAUUGCUGUAAAGCCGGAAGCUCGCCCUCCAGAAAAGAAGGUCCAAAGCAUGCACGCAAAUUUGCAACCUGUUUCGGAGCUCCCUAGUGCCGGCUGUGGGAAUUACAACGAACGCUAUUGCCGCUGUCCUCCGUGCUCUCAUGCGGCAUUUAUACCGUCAACCGACCCCACUCACGCACGCCGUUCCCGUGUGCAUCGACCUUUUCACCCGCCACAGCCGCCGACAGUGCCAAGGCUCUAGAGGCCCUAGGCAACAAGCGGACGACGCUGCAGGGCCGCGCGACCGACUUGGACCGCAAGAUCAGGGACCUGGGCUCACUGCCCCAGGACGCCUUUGAUAAAGCCUACCGAGACCGCAGCACCAAAGUAGGUGGGGAGGAGCACGAGUGCCGGGACGUGGGCGGGUGCGGGUGCGGAAGUCCUGGGGCGGCGAAGGAUGGGAAAGAAAGCGCUGAUGAAGUCGGACCAUCAUGCCUUGUUACUCUCACCUUGGCAUCUUUGAACUGCAAUUCUUAACGUGGGGUAUUCCCCGUCUGUAAUUUUAAACGCGGUACAUUCUUCGGGACUAUUUGUCCGUUAUUACCCUUCGAGCUAGUGACUCGAGGCCGAGGUAGCACGAGUUGACCGCCGUAUCGCCACUGUUAAGGCCUUUCGUACCUAGGGUUUUAACCAGUAGCUGCUGUGGCCAAACAAGGCCAGUAGAGCGAAGUAGAGCAUGGUUCCUUUCCACCGCAUGGAGCCCUCGCACUGCCGUGCGGCAAUUCCUUGGCCCUGGAUGCUCCACCACCUGUGCAGGAGCUAAUGCGCGCCCUGGAGGAGGUGGCUGCUUCCCUGGAGCGAUUCGCCGGAGUGAACCGCAAGGCACUGGAUCAGUACGUGGACUUCUCCAAUCAACGAGAGGAGUUGGCGACCAGGCUCAAGGAGCAGGUAGACAACGCGUGCACGUGGCCACAGGCGGAUGGGAGGGGAUGCCCAGUAAUGAAGGGAAGACGGUCUAGCAGGAGGCACACUCAGCACGAGCCGGCGUCAGUCGCGUUCUGAAUUACGCGAAACGCAAGACGCAGCAGCCAGGCAUCGGCAAUCUACCGGGGUUGACAGCCAUUUUCUUCCAUUCCAUUUCCUUUCUGCCAUUUGUGUCCAUUUCAUUGCCUGAUUGUUGCGUAUGGCAUAUAGGUUCCAGUUCCACUGCAUAGGUUCCACUGGUCCAUGUGGUAGUGGUCGUUUCGGGGUGCGGUCACAGGUGCAUGGUCAUCGUGCGUCUGUAUCUGGGCAGUUGGAUGAGGGCAUCAGUUACUGUUCUUGUGCUGGCACAGUGGAGGGGAGGUCGGAGCUUCGUGCUAGGCGCUUGCCUUACGUCGGUCAUCUGUGCACCGAACUACUACUAGGUCAAACGCCUUCAGCGCUGCUGUGCCACCACCGCCCUGAACCCAUACAUAGCUUUCAGCUUUUACAUCCUGAACGCCAAAAAAACAUCCCCCGCAGCAAGCUGCUAAGGACAAGAUCAAGGAGCUCAUUACUUCUCUGGACAUGCGCAAGGACGAAGCCAUAGAGCGAACCUUCAAGGGCGUCGCCAAGAAUUUCCGGGAGGUGUUCGCCGCACUGGUACCAGGUAAAUUCAAUAGGCUAGGGUUGGCUAAGAGUUCUCAAUUCGAGUGUAGGUCGUAACGACUUGCCGGAUAAUGACUAGUUGAUCGGUACGUCGUGAACAGUGAACUGCCUUGCGGGGCUUUCCUGCGGCAUGUCGCUGGGACGACACGGCCUGGCGGUGUUUUUUCGGCAUGUCCACGCUGGGAGUAAACGACCUGGUUCGCCUACCUCAUUUACCGAGUUGAAAGUUUCAAGUCUUGCUGCCAUCCCACCUGCGAUCUGUUUGUGCCCAGAUGUCACCAACUCGGGCAGUCAAUUCGGGGCCCUCUGCAUUCGGCUCUCGAGGCGGAGCCACUUCACACUACACCAGCGCUGCCUGUACACUUCCGCUCCCGAACAUCUACAUUUCCACCGUAAUAUUUUUGAACCAUUUCUGUGUCCGUCGCCAUGCAGGCGGGUCUGGUGAGCUCGUGAUGAUACGGGCGGCGGGCCGGGGUGCUGCUGGGGACGGAGACGAGGAGGAUGGAGGCGGGACGGGUGCAACCACGACGACGGAGAAGUACAGUGGUGUCAAGGUCAAAGUGCGGUUUGCUGGCACCGGCGAGGCGGUGAGCACAUGAGGGGGCGAAAAUACACCGAAAUGGCUUUGCUGGCGACAGCUCAUGUGGGAUGGGUCAGCCAUUGGAGAUGCGUGAUGAAGGCCGCGUCGCCCUUUUAGGGUGGAAGCUUGCCUUUUGGCGCGGCGCGGCGCGACUCACACAAACACUCUUUUAGCCGCUCUUCAUUCUGUCCUGCUGGCUUCCUAUUGCCUUAGUUUAUUGUGGGCCUAUCUUGCUGAAGCCAUGGCCGUUUUGAACUGGAGGAGAGGUCGCCACAGAAGUCAUUCCGCGUCCGUCCACUUUUUACAACCCAAGGGCUCCAUCGAGCAGGUGGAUGGCAGUUGCCCUCCAGUCACCUCCAUUUCCACCCUUGUUUGCAGGUCUCCAUGCGGGCGCUAUCUGGCGGUCAGAAGACGCUAGUGGCCCUGGCCCUCAUCUUCGCCAUCCAGCGCUGCGACCCUGCUCCCUUCUACCUCUUUGAUGAAAUUGACGCGGCGCUGGACCCGCAAUACCGCACCACGGUGGCCGCCAUGCUGCGUCGCCAGGCUCACGACCCGAUCAACCCGGCGCAGUUCAUCGUGACCACCUUCCACCCGCAAAUCGUCACAGAGGCGGACCGGCUGUUUGGAGUGGCGCACACCAACCGCAUCUCCCGGGUCUACGCCAUCAACCGGGAGGACGCACUGCAGUUCUUACAGGUGGGGGGCUGCGCGGCGGAUGUGUGCGUGGGGGGAGGGUGCUGUGCCGUAAUGGGGAUUGGGCCUUAAUGGACGUGGGUUAUGCAUUGCUCGCUUUUAAAGUCAGCUGCCACAAGGUGCGCAUCGCGCAUCAUUUUGACUUAGUGGGCUGACUGCCUUCGCCUCAGCUGGUACACAAUUGCAGGUGCUGCUUGUUUCUGUUUAUACUCCAUACUUAAUCCAUAGUCACUUUAGAGAUUGCGAAGCACGGCUCCUUCAUGGUGCAAACCUCAGGCGGCGGAGGACGACGAGCGUGCCGGCGAAAGGGACACGGGUGAAGCGAGCGCAGAGGGAUCGGGAGCGAGACGCGCAGCCAGGGCGUCUGGUGCGAAGCGAGCCGGCGGCGGCCGCAGCGGCCAACAAGGGGCCGCUGGCGGCGGCGGUCGUACCACGCGUGUUGACAAGUCGCCGGCAGCCGGACGGCAACGUAAGCGUGGAGCCGUGCAUGCGGAUGAGGAAGACGAGGAGGCGGAGAGCGAGAGUCUUGAUGGAAGCGGCGAUGAGCAAGAUGGAGAAGGUGAAGGAAUGGACGAGGAUUGAUUGAUUCCCCAAGGCGCGGCUGCCUUUCUGAAAGCGUUCAGGGAGGAAGGCCGUGCAGGUGUCGCGUUCGGAUUUCGGAUAGGAUUUAUAAAAAUAAACACCUCGGACCAGGCUAAAUGACGAAACGGUCUGAUUUGAGCGGACUACGAGAUGAGGAUGACGUACACAAGACGGCGGACCUCCGCAUGGACCUUUAUUGAGAUCCGUACCUCUUGCUGUGGCCCGCUGAAGGGUUAGAAGGCUUUCCUCUAUCGCAAUGGCGGGACUUCUAAUGGUUUUGCAGGUCGUUUUCUGUGACGAUUGGUUAACGAAGAGUGGCAUUGCGAAAAUUGGUGUUGUGCUCGACUGCUUCCAGUUGCAUGUGCACGGCUGGGACUGGAUGUCAGGUUGUGUGCCAUCCUUUGUUAAUAUUGCGUUGGUCCUUGAAUGAUAGCAUGAAGCAUAUGCAAUAAGUUGCAGCAAUAGAGCAAAAUUUACACCGGAAGCUGCGGUGCUUACUGCUGGCCGCACCGCUGCGCUGCUGCUGAAACUUUCCUCCAAUGAACGAUAGCUUUUGGUGCAAUCCAGGGUUCCGGGCAGACCAGGACCACGGUUUAAUUCCCCCGACGCGGAUAUCCGCAACGUGGAGAACGCUCGAAAGGUUUUAAAGGGAUUCCCAAUCAUGGAAGUUCAUGCACGCUCGGUACGACCCCUCGGUACGACCCCUCAGUACGGCUCGUCAGUACGGCGGUCCCUAAGUACACUCCUGCUCAUCGGCAUACACACAGACACACACUCGACGGUCUCGAAGCAACCCCACCAGAAGGGCGCUCAGCUCCAAGAUGGCUCCAGCCUUCCCCUGCUUCCGUACUGCUGUCCAUACAUUAAAACCAAUACCAAGGUCAAUAUACACUUUUAAACGACAAUAUCAACAACAACAAGAACAACAACAACAACGACGACAACAGCAACAACCAGAAACGCUCAAUCGUCAAACACGCACUCUCUCUCCCCCUCUCUCACCUCUCUCCCUCUCGCACGUCGCCACUGCCUCCCAUCCCACAUGCAUCGCGUAUUGGAGUUUGUUGCAUUCUCAGCAGGCAGCGCAACCGGAGGUGUAACACACACGCACACACACACACACAUGCGCUCAUAUCUUGCAUCAGUACUCUCACGCUAAUGCUGCCGCCAUCGACACCAUCGCCGCUGCCACACUCUCAACUCCCCCCCAGCAGUAACCGGCUGCUCACAGUCCAGCAGCCGGAGAUAGCUCCAGGAGGAGGAGCACACAACUCCCUGCCGCCAGCCCCUCUCACCUAAGAGGCCAAUACGAUAUGCCCUCCUAUCCUUUGAUACACGUGGCACACCUGCACGGAUAAGUGCUGCCUGUGCCACUGCAUGUGGGCAGCAGGCCUCGAGGGUGGAGGCCGCCUUCAAUAGCGAGUUUCUCCCUCCCUCCCCUUUUCCCCUUCCCUCCCCUCCCCUCCAGGGAGGACCCCAGACUUGGCAGGAUCAUAGCAAGCUCCGCUCCGCUCCAAUCAACCAGGGAACAAUAAUAAAACCUAAAUCGUAUAAAAGCCCUUCAAUGUGCAAAAUCAAUUUUCAGUAAUGAACUGAACUACUUCCACACUUGCAGCUGGUAAACCGGACACCCGACCCCUUCAUCCGGCGCUCCCUCCUGCUCUCCUUUCUCUAGCUCCCUAUCGCUACACGGUCACAUGAAACCCUAACUACACCAGCAGCAGCAGAUUAAGGGCAGUCCCAUAAGAAACCACCCCGGCUCCGAAACCCCCGCCGCGUCGUACGCCGUCUCCCAUUAUCGUGACUCCACAGUCACGACGAUGGUCUCCGGGUCUGAAGGAAACGGCACGGCAGCUACGGCCGGCGCCGGCGCCGGCGCCGGCGAAGAAGAAGUCGCCAGCGGUUCAGUGGAUGUUGCUGCAUCUGCCACCGCCGCAGCCGCCACUGGCGGCGGCGGCGGUGGCGCCGGCGCCGGGGCCUGUAGCGGCAGCUGCGUCGCCGCUGCUGCCACCGUUUGCAGUAUGCGGCUCCUCACGGGCUGCCAGAAGGGGAACAGGGUGUCUGGCGCCACACCCAGACGGGCCGCCUGUUGGCCCGCCAGCUGAUCUACAAUGUCGACAGCCACCUCCGUCGCCACCUGCAAUCUGCUACUGCUACUGCUACUGCCGUCACCCGCCACGUUGGACAGUACGGCAGCCAAUUCACGAACUUGGUCGGGUGGACUGGAUGCGAGCUGCAGUACGGACUGCAAGGUGGGGGACUCCAGGGUGGCUGACUCCACACCUACGUACGGCAUAUUUGGUACGGCGGACAGCAGAAUCGAAUCGUCAUGACACAUGAAAUCAGGAGGUGGUUGGGAACAGGGUAAUUGGGGGAAAAGACGAACCACGAGCGAGUGAAGCUGAUGCUAAGGAAAGACUGACACGGCAGAUGUAAUUGGGGGGACGAGAGCAUUAGUGGGAUUACUUUUAAAUGCUUUGGAAAGGAAGGGGUGUUGCCCGCGUGUAGCUCCCAAAGGGACGUCGUGGUCUUCGCACAUGAGAGGUAGAGGAUGUCCCGAAAGUGGUGAACAGGAGGAGCAUAGUGGACAGCAGCAGCGGGAGGAGGAGGAGGAGGAGGAGGAGGGAGGAAGGUAAGGUCAGGGGGAAUGCCCCUGGGUUGAUGAUGGCACACACUGUAGCAUCACACUUCUUUACACGGCUUUAAUUCCUUUGGCAAGAAGAUAGAAUCCGAGCUGUCUCGCACAUCAUAUUCCUCUUCAUGCAAUAAAAAUAGCUCAGAAAACGUUAACGGAUAAGACGACGGUAGGCGGACGAUCUUUUUGGAUGGCAGGAAGGGGGAAGGGAAUAAAUACAUCACACAUGAAAAGAACAUUUUCUUAAACAGUCAUUAACAGUCCACCCUCUUCCCCCCCUCCCAAUAACCUCCUCCCGACCCCUCACUCACCCAGUACGCCAGCCGCAAGCUCCGUCAACUGCUGGAGGUACACCUGUACGACAAAACCAAGUACGACACAGAGUGGCAUACUGAAAAAACGAAGUACGUCUGCGAAAAAAACUGUGUCAAGGCCCGAGUUGAGCCCCUGCGCAAGCCCCGACUGACCAGGACAGAAUGAGAACCAACCAGAGAGAGAGAGCGAGGGAGCGAGAGCGAGGCGAAUUCGGAGCUGUUGGUAGGUGAGAGUCACAAACCCUAAACCCAUUUCCCCUCCCCCGGGCCCCUACCUGCUCCCCGGGCUCCAGGGGGGGCGCCAGCAGGUCCACCACCUGCGACACGGCCACCAGGCCCCGCCCCGGCACGUAGAGCGGCGGCGGGGGGGGCGCGGGAAGCGACCCCAGGAAGGGCAGCCGCGGGGUCAGUGUGGCUGUCGCCAGGUUGAAGGCCUUACGUAAUCGGUCUCGGAGCAGCAGGUCCAGUCCUCCCACCACCCAGCCCGUCAGCAGGGGCCGCAGCUCCCGGGCCUCCGCGGAGAGGAGGAAGGAGGCCAGCUCCUGUACGGCAGGGUUGAAGGGGGGUUGAAGGGGGGUGAAGGGGGGUUUGUAGAGGAAAAAGAGAGAGGGAGGGGGAAUCAUAUAAUAAUAACAAUGUGAUGAUGAUGAUGAUGAUGAUGAUGGUGCACAAGAGCCGAAGGGGAACCAACCGCCAACGACAUCACGUGCCAAUCUGCAGAGGGAGUAAGAACUGCGGGGGUGAGGGCGAUGAGGGAGGGGGGAAGCGGGGCACUCACACACGUACUCAUACACACAUACAUACAGACAUACACAUAUACGCGGAAAUCCACACACGCACAGGUAUUCACGAAACGACCGCCCUUCUAAUCUCUCUCCCCAACACACAGACCCCCACACCCACGCACCCACCGACCUGCACACUCGCCCCCUCCGCCGGCAGCGCAUCAAAGUCCACAAAGCCCUGGCUGCUAUCCGCCACAUAGCCCAGGGCCGCAUUGAGGAGGGCGGCCAGACGGCGAGCUGCCAGCUGACUACCCACCUGAGGUGGGGGGUGGGGGGUGGGGGGUGGGGGAAAGGGGGUGAAAGGCGGACGCAGAGGAGGCCAGCUGAUACCAGAGAUAGACGGAGGAGGGGGGGGAUGGGCGCCAAGGAAGGUGGAGGCAGGCUGAUGGCGGGCGGACAUUUGAGGAGGCGGGGAGAGGAUAGGUUGAGCGGGUGCUACGUUUUGCGCGCGCGCGCGCGCGUGUGUGUGUGUCUGUGUGUGUGUGUGUCUGUGUGCGUGUGUGUGUGUCUGUGUGCGUGUGUGUGUGUGUGUGUCUGUGUGUGUGUGUGUGUCUGUGUGUGUGUGUCUGUGUGUGUGUGUCUGUGUGUAUGUGUCUGUGUGUGUAUGUCUGUGUGUGUAUGUCUGUGUGCGUUUUCCUGCACUGGGAAACGAAACACCCCCCAGCCCCCCACCCCCCAGCCCCCCACCCCCCAGCCCCCCACCCCCCAGCCCCCCACCCCCCAGCCCCCCCACCCCGCCACCCACCUCAGCUCCCGGGGUGGCCACCUCCCGAAUGAGAAGCAGGUCUCGGAGCAAGGCCGAGGCGGUGGAUGAGUCAUUUCGAAGAACCUGCGUGCGCGUACAAAUAUACAAACAUACGGACAUACAUACGGACAUACAUGUGUAAGUGUAUGUGUGCAUGGGGUAGCCACCCCACUUGGUUGUCGUGGACUUGGAGAGCAACGUUGGCCGAACCGAACAGCCUAGGAAGCAAGCGUGCGUGCGUGUGGGUGUAUGUGUCUGUAGCUUCCGGGUGUGUGUGGGGGUUGGAGGGGGGUGUACGUGUAUACGUGCGUAUGUUUUUGAGUGGUGUUCCGUUUCCUUUCAUAGUUUCAUUUUUCCGCCCCGGCAACUGACCGCCAGGCCGACAAAACCCAUCACGUGACCCAAGGCUUAGGGCUUAUUUAACAGGUCCUUGCAGUGCCCCAUCCGCCGUACCAUGCCGUACCUUUCUCGCCACGAAGGGGUAGGCCUGAGCAACCAUGGCGUACUGCGGGUCGCCAGCCAGGGCAAUACCUUCCAGAGUCGCCACACUGUCGUACGCAUCCGUACAAAGACAGAGUGCCAAGGGAGAAGAGCCGUACAACAAUCGCCCCGAGGAGUUGCCCGUACGAACGAAUGCGGGGGACAAGGGCGGGGGAAGGGUGUGCCGGGAAACCCGUGAGCGCAAAGCCGUGGGGUGGUCAAGAAAUAUGUACCAUUUUGUUACCCAACUUCUAGCCUCCAACCGGAGAUCCCAACCGAACCUCCCAACUCCCAGCCCAAACCUGGCACAAGACCCCAAACCCUAAAACUCCACCGUCCCUCCCCCUCCCCCUCUUCCUCCAGCCAGCCAGCCAGCCAGCCAGCCGAAGCCCCGCCAAAGCGCCCACUUCCCCCUCCCCACCUCCUGGCCAGCAGGCUCAUGUACGGCGGUACGGAAAACGGUAUCUCCAGGGUAGCUGCCAGCAGGUCCUGACUAAGUGCGGAGAAGUUGAAUGCCGCUGCGCCCCCACCGCGCAGGUAGGGGGACAGAACCUGAUCAAGGGGGGGUUGGGUGGGGGUGUCGGGGGAAUGGGGGGUUCGGGGGAAUUGGGGGGUGCUGCUAGAUUCGUGUACCGCCGGCGGUGGUUGUGGUGGUUGUGGUUGUGUACAGAGCGGUUAGGGAUCCUUGUGUCCGUGACGUCGCCGUCCGGGCAGUAUCCCUGGCACCAGGCCCCCCAUCCCACAACCACUACGUCCCCACGUCCACAACGACCCAACGCACCAUAUAUCGUACUUCCUCGCACCCCGCGUGUCUGCCCUUUCCCUCGCCCACCAUUUCCCCUCCCACCUGGCCCCCCAAAACACACACACACAUAUGCACACACACACCCCGUGCCCCCUCUGGCCCAAGCCCAAGCCUCACUCGGUCCAUGACGGGUAUUAUGAGGGCCCUAUCCGGAUUGGGCGGCAGGAAGCCCAGCUCCACGAAGUCGUCCACGAGUGCGGACCAGUCCCGGUUGUCCAGGUGGAUGGUGGCGGCGACCAUGCCCUUGGGGGGGGGGUAGAGGGGGGGGCAGGACGGUAGGAGCGGGCCGACGGCAGUGACAUGCGAAAAGGUGGCGGAGGGGGGGGGAAAGACGAACCACGUGAACGAGUGAAGCUGCUGCCUGCCAAAGAAAGAGAAGCAGAACUGACCAGUAGGCGGUUAUGAGCCAGAGGCGCGGGGUUUGUGUGUGUAUGGAGGGGGAGAAAGGGGGCAGGGCCUGACACAACUUUUCAUGGCUUGGGUUUUGCCUGCUUGGUAGUUCGUCGUUGAGGAGGGGCGUAGUGCGGACAGCUUUUGGUUGUAGGGUUCAGCUUUUUUGGGCUUAAGGCGCCGGUAGGGCGGCACCCCUCAUCGCGGGGAGGAGGGGAACCCAGGGCGCUGGAAGUGCACGCCUGGGGCCUCGCAUGCCUAGAUAUGCGGAUGAAAGUAUGCUCAUUUUCAUCUGCACCAGCUCUGUGUGGUGUGCAAGGGCCCUAGGGUGCGCAGCCGCGGCGGCUGCUCCAGGCGCCGGCUGCUGCCUGGGCGGAACUGUGCCUGUGCCUGUGCCGCAGCGCGUGCUGAGGUUGGUUGGUCGUUUGAGGGCCUUGGUAGCCACUGCGCUCUUCGCUUUCCUCCUCGAGGGGGGAAUUGCGGUGGGGGGGGUGUGCACGUCCUCGAUCGCGCAGGAGGGGAUAGUGGCCCCCCUCACGCCCCUACUCCCUGCCAACAAGGAGGAGAGAGUGCUUCGGCACAGUCGUUCGUUCCCGCUGGGGUAUACGGUUAGAGAUGCCGCUGGCCAGUGUCAGGCCCCCGGAUAGGUGUGUGUAACAAAUACACACACACACGGGGAGGAGAGGAGAGCGGAGCUAGUGGACCUGCGGCUCUUGGCUAUACUUAGGAGGAGUGGGCAGAGGCCUCACUCCCGUCCGCGGGAGAGAGAUUUCCGUUGGGGCUGGGCAGCAGCCCCUGGCCAGUGCCAGGCCCGGUCAGAUACUUGUCACGUUUACACACACACACAAACACACACACAAACACACACACACACACAAACAAACACACAACACACACAGACACACACACAGACACACACACAGACACACACAGACACACACAGACACACACAGACACACACAGACACACACAGACNNNNNNNNNNNNNNNNNNNNNNNNNNNNNNNNNNNNNNNNNNNNNNNNNNGGGGGGGGGAGGGGGAGGUGGAAGGUGGAGGUGGAGGUGGAUGGGGAUGGGGGAUGGGGGAGGUGGUUGACUUUGUUCAAAUUGGCAUUAGGGGUCUUUUCACUUGGGGUUAUCGUCAAGGGGCGUUUCCUCAACACUCAACACUCAAUACACAUCACACAAAACUGCCCGCGUAAGUCCCCCAGACCCACCAUAUACCCAAAGCACAUACACCUAAGGCCACCCCCAUCCCGUGCCCCACCCCGUGGACCACCCCGCCAAAGAUAUACGGACCCAAAGUUAACACCUCCCCACCUGCACACAUACAAUGUCGUGUAUACAACACUCCCCCCUCUUCCCAGCCCGCCCCCCCCCGCGGACCCCACCUUGAGCAGAUUCCCCGGGUGCGGAUCGCCGUGGAAGAAACCAAUCUCCAGAAGCUGCGUCAGAAAGGCCUCCUGUCCUACCUGCGUACGGAGAAUUCGUACGGAAGUACGGCCACGACGGGACGAAAGUGUGCGAAUGAGAGCAGCGCACGAUUAGUAAAAACUAUAACGCACAAAACGCACAUACCUACGUACAAAAUUAAGUAAAUGAACACGCACGCUAGAAUUUUUGCUUUGGUCGUUAUUUGGCCGCCGCCCCAAGCAAGUGAUCAUCACCUAACAUAUUAUGCAGACACGGGUACGNNNNNNNNNNNNNNNNNNNNNNNNNNNNNNNNNNNNNNNNNNNNNNNNNNNNNNNNNNNNNNNNNNNNNNNNNNNNNNNNNNNNNNNNNNNNNNNNNNNNNNNNNNNNNNNNNNNNNNNNNNNNNNNNNNNNNNNNNNNNNNNNNNNNNNNNNNNNNNNNNNNNNNNNNNNNNNNNNNNNNNNNNNNNNNNNNNNNNNNNNNNNNNNNNNNNNNNNNNNNNNNNNNNNNNNNNNNNNNNNNNNNNNNNNNNNNNNNNNNNNNNNNNNNNNNNNNNNNNNNNNNNNNNNNNNNNNNNNNNNNNNNNNNNNNNNNNNNNNNNNNNNNNNNNNNNNNNNNNNNNNNNNNNNNNNNNNNNNNNNNNNNNNNNNNNNNNNNNNNNNNNNNNNNNNNNNNNNNNNNNNNNNNNNNNNNNNNNNNNNNNNNNNNNNNNNNNNNNNNNNNNNNNNNNNNNNNNNNNNNNNNNNNNNNNNNNNNNNNNNNNNNNNNNNNNNNNNNNNNNNNNNNNNNNNNNNNNNNNNNNNNNNNNNNNNNNNNNNNNNNNNNNNNNNNNNNNNNNNNNNNNNNNNNNNNNNNNNNNNNNNNNNNNNNNNNNNNNNNNNNNNNNNNNNNNNNNNNNNNNNNNNNNNNNNNNNNNNNNNNNNNNNNNNNNNNNNNNNNNNNNNNNNNNNNNNNNNNNNNNNNNNNNNNNNNNNGAAGGGGCACGGUGGUAUAAAAGGGGAGGAGGGGGAAAGGGGCGGCGUGCGUGAAGUGUGUUAUGUGUGUCCCAAGACCUCCUAUGUGUAUGUAUGUAUGUAUGUAUGUAUGUAUGUAUGUAUGUAUGUAUGUAUGUAUGUAUGUGAUGUGGUGUACGGCAUGGCUUAGGAGAGUGAGGUAGGCGAACCCCCCGUCGCAAUCCUAACAGGCCAGAGGGACGGGGUCCCCGUCCCCCUCCGCCCCCCAACCCACCUCCCAAAAAUGCCCCUCCCCCUCCCCUUCCUCCCUGGAGAGGACAAUCCCACCCAACCCCCAACCCACCUCACCGCCCUCCUUCCCUCCCAAUAAACACACACAAACAUAUAUACACAUAAACAUAUAUACUAUGUAUUAUACAUGAUACGUAUACACACAUAUACAUACAUGUGCAUAUAUAUACAUACAUACAUACAGGGACAUACAUACACAAGGGCAUAGACACUAGGGACACACACACACGCACCUCGGCCAUUCUCGCCGCAUUGAGCGCCUCGUUCCUGAAGUCCAUCUCCGUGUACAGCCCCUCGGCGAAUGUGGACAGCAGGCGCUGGUAGUCGGUGGUCUGCGCAGUGAACCGCUUCACGAGCUUCUCGUACACACCCACCGCACGACGCAUGACGUACAGGUCCUUUUGCGUGUUGGGGUUCAGGGGGAGGGGACGCGGAUUAUUGGGGGUGUUAAAUGUACUGCUACAACUACAACUACUGCUACUGCUACUGCUACUGCUGCUGCUACUGCUGCUGCCACUACUGCUGCUGCCACUGCUAGUAUUCACCUCACCUUGCUGAUGGUGGCGAGGGCCUGCGGUCGCUGCACCUUGACCGCCACCUCCUCGCCCGUGGACCGCAGUCGGGCUCGGUACACCUGGCCGGGGUGGGGGUGGGGGUGGGGUGGGGUGGAGGGGUUGGAGGCGGAGUGGGAAGAGGUGCAGGGGGUGGUGGUGGAGGGUGGAUGAUGUUGUUGAUGGUGGUGCGGCUGACCAGUGGGUGAGGAGGGAAGAAGAAAGGAAGCUGAGCGCGCGUGUGGGUGUGGGGGGGAUUGGUAUGCAAGAGCGUGGGUGUAACGUUUUCCCCCACCUCCCAUCAAUCCGCCCAGGGAUCGUCUCCUUGCUGGUGACACGCUCCUGUGUUUUUCCCCCCUUUCCCCCUCCUCCCCUCCCAUCGCCCCACCUUCACACACACAUACCNNNNNNNNNNNNNNNNNNNNNNNNNNNNNNNNNNNNNNNNNNNNNNNNNNNNNNNNNNNNNNNNNNNNNNNNNNNNNNNNNNNNNNNNNNNNNNNNNNNNNNNNNNNNNNNNNNNNNUAGGCAGGUAGUGGUGGGCCACAUCUGUGCCACGGUUGUGUGUUUCGUUGUGGAAUCGUUACCCGUUGCCCUCUUUCUUGUUCCUGAUGCUAUGGAGGGUGGCUGGGGCUGGUUGGGGGAGGGGGGCGUGUAUGUUUCGCCUCCGCCAUUGACGUGCCUGCCCUAAUUGUCAUGUUCCCAUCCAUGUGCUGCACGUGCAGCAGGCCUCGGAAGAUGGGGCCAACGUCCAGCCGGGAAUGGAGGUAAGAUGGGGGCGAGGGUCGGGGCUCUUAUGUGUUUUACAUGGGGCAUCAAAACGCUGUCGUACUCCGAUAUGGCUAUCGGAGUACGGCAGAUUUGUUUGAUGUAGGCAGGUAGUGGUGGGCCACAUCUGUGCCACGGUUGUGUGUUUCGUUGUGGAAUCGUUACCCGUUGCCCUCUUUCUUGUUCCUGAUGCUAUGGAGGGUGGCUGGGGCUGGUUGGGGGAGGGGGGCGUGUAUGUUUCGCCUCCGCCAUUGACGUGCCUGCCCUAAUUGUCAUGUUCCCAUCCAUGUGCUGCACGUGCAGCAGGCCUCGGAAGAUGGGGCCGACGUCCAGCCGGGAAUGGAGGUAAGAUGGGGGCGAGGGUCGGGGCUCUUAUGUGUUUUACGUGGGGCAUCAAGACGCUGUCGUACUCCGAUAUGGCUAUCGGAGUACGGCAGAUUUGUUUGAUGUAGGCAGGUAGUGGUGGGCCACAUCUGUGCCACGGUUGUGUGUUUCGUUGUGGGAUCGUUACCCGUUGCCCUCUUUCUUGUUCCUGAUGCUAUGGAGGGUGGCUGGGGCUGGUUGGGGGNNNNNNNNNNNNNNNNNNNNNNNNNNNNNNNNNNNNNNNNNNNNNNNNNNUCAAAGAGAAAACCCUAAGUCCUCAUCUCCCCCCGCCCGCUUCCGCUUCUCCUCCCCUCCCCCAGGCACCCGUCUCAACCCCUCACCCCCUCACCCCGCCCCCCCUCAAGCCCCCCGGCCGAGGCCCCGCGGCCCCGCGGUAGGAGGUGUGUUCCGCGGAUCCAUAAAACACACCUCCUACCCCCCCUUUGCAUCGCAAGUGGACUCCCGAAUGCAGACAUACACACAUACAUACAGGAACAGCCGCCAGGCUCAGCGAACCUUAUGACAUACAACAUACAAACAUCCAAACACACACAUCUCCACUCGCCCCUCCCCACCUCCUCCCCACCUCCUCCCCACCUCAACCCCACCUCCUCCCCACCUCCUCCCCACCUCCCCCCACCGCAACCGACUCCACUCACCGAAUGCUGAGGAUCUGUCCCAGCUUUAUGAAGGUGGGUCCAAGCUUCUCCAAGUUGUCCACUGCCUCGCGGGCCAGAGCGGCUCGGUCCCUUUCCAGGCGGCCGGACAGAACCGCAUUGGCCAGCUUGGUCAGCCAGGGGGCUGCGGUGUGGGAGUGGAAGAGGGGAAUGGGAGUGGGUGUGGGAGAGGGUGUGGGUGUGGGUGUGGGAGAGGGUGUGGGUGUGGGUGUGGGAGAGGGAGAGGGGAAUGUGAAAGGGGUGUGAGGGGAGGGGGAGAGAAACGAAAACUUUACGGGGAAGCACUCUCUCCAUAUUGCCCCCUCCCUUCGUUACGCCACCAGGGGAGUUCCCUUCCCCCCCCAACCUUUUGGUGAUGAUUGCUCCGUCACUGCUUUCCACUGCUCCUGCUACGGCAGCUGGUACUUCCGGUGUGUCGACACAAAGCCGAUGCUUUGGGACUUUUGCUGCACCAUCAUAAUACAUUCCAUAUACUCACUUCACAUCCAUGUAUCCACCUUCACCUUCACCUUCUCGUUAUGCAGGCACGUACGUGACCCCCAUCACCCCCACCGACAGCACAGCCAUUCCUUCUUCUCCUUCCUCUUCUCCUUCCUCUUCUUCUUGUCUCCUUCUUAUUCUUGCAUGUAAUUCCCCUCUUCCCCCCUCUUUCUCCCCCCCCCCCGGGCCCCACUUUCCCUCCCAAACCCCGCACCCUACCCGACACGGCCGCGAACUUGGUCCACCUGCCCGCCAGCUCCCCCGGCCGCCCCCCCCAGUAGCCGGCGAUGCGCUCCUCGUUAUACACCAGCGGCAACCCGUCGGCGUCCACUUCGUCAGGGUCGAAGUCCGCAGCGUCCAGUCGGCGACGAGACACGUACGACACGCUCUGUGGCGCGGGGGGGGGAGAAAGCGGCAAAGGCAGGGUUGUGACGGCGGCGCUCGAGCCCUCGCGCGCGAGAGAAAUGAAAACUACUUGGCAUGGCGUUUUCUUACACAGGAUUGUGCGUAGUUACAUACGUGUAUAAGGGGGGAGAGAUGCGGAGAGAGAAUUCGUAGGGACGAAGCAUGAGAUGGUUCCAAAGCUGCGGUAAGACCGUGAUGUGAAGUGUGGAUGGACGACAGGCACAGGAGCUCUGACCGUCGUGUCGCCUAGCCCCUCACAGCAUUUUUCAUCUUCCCUCCCCAAAGGUCUGUCUCCUCCCAAAGCCAUGCAUAGUUCCAGAUUUACGGAAGGCGAUUUGGGUCGCGCUGGAGAUGGCGUCGCUCGCUGAGGAAGGUUUGGGGGCCGGUGCAAUGGAGCUGACUGCUGACUGGUAAGGAAACAGAGAGGAAAGGAGAGAGAGAUAACGAGGGACAGAGGGAGAGAAGCUGCUUGUGUCACGUCUCCCUCGACUCGCGCGGUGAAAGGUGGUUACAGGCGAGGGGAAGAGUGGGCGUCAGCCAUCCGUCAUUGUCUGACCAAUCCUCACCCGCACAUCGCGAAGCUGCAGGUCACGCAGCUCGGAGGAUUCAACGCCUAGGUCCUUAAGUUCGCGUAUGUCCUCAAGGCGGGUACUCAUGCCAGGGACUGGAAUGCCCCGUGUUCGCGUCGUGGUAGCUGAUGCCAUGACGCUCCGACGAGGUCCCCUCGCGGCUUGUGGCAAUGGUGCAGCAGCACCACGCAGCUCGGCAACAUGCGGGACAUAUAUUCCUAAGGUGGGAGCAUUUGCCAGCCGUGAAUACAUACUCAUAUGAGUACAACUUAACCGGGGAAGCAUACAAACUCCUUCCUAUGUUUUCUUUGCAAAGACGAUAAAACGAAAUAGGUUUGUAUUCAUAAUUGUCUAUGCUGAAGGUCACGGUGAUUACAUGGCGUCGAACAGUUUGUACGGUGAGACGAGUGGCUCUGGGUAAGUGCGAAGGCAACACCCAUCUAAAAGUCUGAAGCAAUGUGGCAACAUCUGUUAAGCAAUCUGUCUUUGACUUUACAUUUGUGGCCUUCCUUGGCGAACUCCUUAUUGCUGGGCUCUGCAACACACUAUCCGCCAACGACUCCGCUAAGGAAAGCAUCGCGCCUCGCUGCUCCAACGCCCAGGCAAAAUAACAACACAACAAACCGACCAUUGGACAAUUGGAAGUCGCUGGACGCGACUGAUAGGCGAUAAUGCUGCCACUUGACGGCAUUCUUGCAGAACCGCUCAUCAUGUUGAGCGCGACGACAUUUUCUGUUUUGCGCUUCAUCCGGCGGCCAUGCGCGACGCGCUAAAACACUAAGCGGAUCGUCUACCCGCACACGCGUUUGAUUCUGCACUUGGCGACAACUUUCUCGUUUGGGGCACCAGCUUACACUUUUGAGAAGUAUCAUGCAUGGCGAAUAAUUGGCCGGCAAACCCGCAGAACGACCUGCCCCUAUCCGUGAUUCGGCUGUCGGAAGGGUACCAGCGUUAUGGCGCAUAGCCGCAACCCACGCUAGCCGGAUGGCCACAACUUCCGGUGUAAUGUGUUGGUGAACCUGGUCGACCUCAUCUCCAUUAUCCCACUGAUGCGGGCGUCAGGCAGCCCCAAAGAGCCCCUUCGCCAUCGCUUUCAUAUGUGGCACUCUUCUCUCCUCCACAACCUCUCACACCUUUCCUUUCCAAAGAGCAAAACCACAAGCAGGCCCAAGCACAAUCAAUGCCUCGCCUUGUCGUCCGGCGGACUCCAGCUGUUAGACCUCCUGUAGGAUAUCCGCAGACGGCUCCAACCACAGUCCCACCAGUCGCCGUUACCCAGCAGCGCCUUUGCGACUCCACUGCUUCUCCUCAAUUUCGACCGCAACCUCAGCGACCUCUAUUUAGGAAGGGGCUGUGCCUCCCUCCCCCUCCUCACGUAUCAGCACCACACGUCUGUGGUUCUUCUUCCGCCCUCCUCCUCCUCUUCCUCCUCUGUUCUAAUCUAAUUACCUACUUUACCUCACCCAACAACACAAAGCCUCAAUAACAAUCGUUUUGCUAAAUAUAAACCCUGUCUUCCCAUUCCUUGGCAGCGCACAAACGCACAUGCGCACAUAUCGAGGCCCUCAGUUCAUCUGUACGCACUUCAAAAUUCAAAACUCCACCACCCGUAAUCGCAUCUUUAUUCACCGCCCCAUGGAUACUUCCCCCUCCAAACAUCAAAAUCGAUGCUCCUCCACAAAAAGCCCACAAGCCUUUUUACUCGGCGCGCCGGACAAUGAUCUGACCCACCAUCGCGUCAUGUCCCUUAACGGUGCAGCGCAGAGGGUACUUUCCGGGCUUCAUGGGAAUGAAGACCCAGGUAGCGGAGGCGCCCGCCUUCAGCGCCACCUCCUGAAUCCCUCCCUUGACCUCCACCGCCGGAUCUCCAGCUAGGACUAAGAUCGAGAAAACCUGGUGAAAUACAGCAGGGGAUUGUAUCACACGCGCGACCAGGGAACGCGACCGAGGGGGAGAGAUGGAGCCGCUUUUAGAGUCCCACCGGUAACCAGCGGCGCGGCGUGGUGAAAGCAUCAUCAGCAGCGGGUGAGUGCGGCAAGAGUGUGGAGUACGGCGAUAUAGCUAAGUGAAGGCGAGGUAUGACAAGAGCUAAGUUGGGUCAAGCGGUUAAAGCUUGUUUAGCAAGUAAUUGUGCUCUUUAAGGGGAGUACUAUAGAAAAAGCAAUAGAAUUAGGAAACUGCAAAAGGAGAAUAGUUGAGGAGGACAUGGGAGCCCAGCAAGGUGCAACGCGGGGGUACACGCGGGGCUGCAAAUGUCUAACUUAUUGGCCUCGAUGCCGUUUUCGCAGCAGCCAUCAGUUGCAAAGCCGCCUCCGGAGCGGUGAAACCUGUCUUUUGUACCUUUUCCGCAAAUUCAAAAGCGGUAAAGUAGUGUGUGGAAGUUGACGGGUUUCUGAGCUUGAGCUUGCAGAUCCUGCCCGCGGUGAACUCCAAAGUGUUGGGGAUAAAUACGUAUUGACCGUCUUCCGUGCCGAGCUGUACGGCAACCUCCUCGAUGGGAGCGUUGGGGUCAAGGUUGUAGUCUUUCAGAGCUGCCCAUGCUGAGCUCGGCGCAACCAUCUCGACGAUACCGGUCGCCGUCAAGGCCAGGGUGCUACCAGCCAGCAAUCCGAGCGUCUGGCGGCGACUCUUGGCUUCACCACUUAAUGGAACAGAGUCGCGCUUCACCUCGGGAGUAGGGGUCGAAAGGGCAUCCCCUCCGAGGCCCGCACACGGUUGUGCGGGAAACGGACGUUGAUAAGUGAAACGUAAACUACAAGAGGAACUAUGGAAUGACCGGCUGUUGUAGAUCCUGCGGCAUUGUUGGAUGCGGGCACGACCGCUGACUGCUUGCAUGCUUACAGCUUAUGGAGACAACGAGGAAAGUUGCCCUGAAGAGCAAUCAAAACAGACGUUUGCUCUGAAAAUUUAGGAAUACCCAUAACGGCAUGGGUGCGUGCAUGAAACGAUGAAGAAAUGUCUCGGAAAUGUACGGUGGCAGUUGCUUGUUCCGAAACUAAUCAAAAAGGUCUAGUAUGUCACGUCGUCGAUUAAAACGUUUCUGGUGUACAUGCAGCAUCCCAAAUCUAUUCUCAGAUUAGGCCAUUUGGCCUAAAUCGACCUUGUGCACAAUCUGCAAGUAAAUUCUGCGCAGGACGACAACUUGCUCCGUUGAUGUCGUGACUAUGUAUGGUCGCUUGAUCAUGCUUAUCCUUGUGUCCAACUGUCCAAGGCAGCAUAACGCGUCAAUCCCCUAAGGAGCAGAUCCAGCAGUUAGCCGCACAUUAACCUAAAGUAUUCAAUUGAAUGUUGGGGAUACUAAGUAGUAUCUUCCAACAGCCAAACGAACUGGACCCAUCGGACAUGCAGGGGCCCACGGGCCAGUUUGCUUCGCAAAUUUCAAGGGCGCUUGUGGUAAUCAUUAUACGCCUCCGGCAUAAUAAAGAAAAUGCUGCUAAGAAAACCUGCUUCAGUCGAAAGCAAAUUUGAAAAGGUUACCAGCAGGGCCAUAAAGCAACACCUUUGACCGGGAACGUCACCUCCUCGGGCCUGAGACGCACACUCGCAGCACGUGCGGCUGCGGCGUUAUCCCGCUCAUAAGACAUAAGAAAUAUCCUCUUGGCCCUCCUCUUGCCUGACAACCCUCCCGCAUAUCAGAACAUGCCCACCUAGAGGACACCUUGCUGUGAACUGUUUGCGUGAAGGCCCUAAAAGGCGCACAAGUUUCCUCCCUGAUCUCCACCAACUUGCCUGCCGCGAGAACGGCUCACCAUAUUUCUUGCCCGCCUAGCUGCUCCUCCAGACAUCCUCGGUAAAAAAAAACAAAUUCCCUCUUCCAAACGCGCUUCCUUCCCUACGAACCAGCAAGUUCGCGAAGGGUUCUCUUUUGCGUCCUAUUCACCACGCCUUCCGCGCCUCGUUCCCCUUGAGGAAAACAACCGCAACUGAGUCAACCUACCCCUAUAAACCCCUACCCCCCGUGGGAUUUCCAUUAAGUGCCAAUACGCGCUUCGCCUUCCCCCUCGCGUAAACCGCCGCUGGCGACGUCUCUACGCUGCUCAUAGGUUGAGGGCGCCGACAGCGCUAUCGCCCUACCCCGGCAGACAGCCAACCCCUCACCUCACCUCACCUCACCUCACCCGCCAUGGGUCUCAUCACAGCAACCCUGAUCGGCAUCUCCCUCUUCGUCACCAGCCCCAUCUGGCUGCCGCUGGUGUUGGCUGCCGUGGUGUUCCCCCACUUCGUGCCCUUCGUGCUGGGCGGUCUGGCCGUGCUGACGUCCCCGGUGUGGAUUCCGCUGUCCAUCAUCGCCAUCCCGAUCAUCAUCGUCACCAGCCCGAUUUGGGGAACCCUGCUGCUGCUGGCCAUCAUCAUCUGACAAGAGAAGAGAUAAAAAUAAACCAGAGCCGCUGUGAGAGUGUGCGGGUGGCGGUGCCCGUGGGCGGUAGUGCUCGCUGGCGGUUCUGUAGGGGUAAUAGUGUGGGGGUGGAGUGGGGUUGUAAGGUGGCAGUGGCGAGUUGGAAGGUGGUGGGGGGAGGGGGGAGGGGGUAGUGCAGUUCACGAUGGCGAUGUGGGUGAUGGUGGAGGGUUGAUAUGGGUGUGUGGAGGGGGCGGAAGGACGCUUUGCGCUACAGGCAUUUGCCGAGGCAUCUGAGAUUAUUUAUAUAUACGAGGCAUCAUGCAGAAGAUGAUGGGCGUAAAAAAGGCGGCCUGCUUCCACCGGGCGGAGGCAUUCCUAGUUGCUUGAGUGUCUGCUACCGGGAUUGACCAGUCCAAGCUCCAGUCGUACGACUCCGUUAGACCCAACCACCACCCGCCUGCUAGCCCCCGGGGCCUGCUGAAUCCCGAAAUGGCGAGGGACUCGCAUAACGUGCCACGCACGACUGGUGAGAUGAACUGUUGGGGAUUCGGGACCUGGGUGCGGUUCUCCGACCACUCCUCAAUAUUGUGUUGUUUUCUGGCGACUGUGCAGGCAGCUCUGCUCCGCACGCCAAGAUGUGCCUCGGGGUUGUGCCAAGAUCCUGUGUGACGAUUAAUGAGGAGGGAGGAGAGAGGGGAAAGGAUGGGCUGGUGCAGUGGCGUGUGUGUAUGUGUGUGUAUUUGUGUGUGGGGGGGAAACUGUAUAACUCUUGAAAGGUGUGGAGGUGGGCCCGGGUUACCGUCAUCAUGGCUGGUUUGCUGACUGACGUUUUUCGAUUAUUCUUGUCCUUGUUGCAGAACAGAUGAACGCAAACCUCGAAGGGAGGCCUUCCCUCCCCCUCGGGGGGCGAUACAUUGUGGCCCUGGACGUUUCAGUUUACCGUUGACGUUUUGGACCGGAAAACCCGUUGUGCUAUAUCCCGUACAAAACACGCGUGGGCCGUACCCAUUAAGGAAAGUUACGGCGGUAUGAUGUAGAUGGUCUGACGCAAUGUCCGUUUCGAUCAGGAGAGAGAGCUGUAAAUCGCUGUUGUCGCAACUUUUGUGAGGGUGUCCGUGAAUAUGUGGCGAUUACGAGGCGAGUCCCGUUCCGUUAGGCGGGGACUGUGAGUGUGGUGGUCGACAGGUGGCAGACGGGCGUUACUUGCUAGGGGGGGCCCCCCGGGGAAAUAUACCCUGUGCCGGGCCGAAUAGAAAACGUACUCCACCUUCACCUUCACCACCUACAUUAAAUCGGCAAUCGCAAUCACAGUAGUAGUGCAUUAGAGAUGGCCUUUGCCUAAAGAACCCAACCGUUUGUUCUCGGAGCUGCAUGAACAUCAACACGCACCCCGCGCGCAUAAAACAUUGAGACAACUGCUGCUGCUCAGAACCUUAUUUUUUCAGGAAAGCAACCAAUUACCCGCCAACUAACCAACCAACUAACUAUCCAACUAAUCCAGCUAACGCGCAAUUGAAACGAGGACCGCACGCUGACGGUACCCAAGAUAGGUAAGCAUACAUACAUAAGUGCAGCUAUCCUAUACUACACACCGUACAGUGCCAGUAGUAGGGGGGAACACCACCACGCCGUUAGGCAAUUCAUCCAGCAGGAUGAUUCCCCCCCCGGAGGAGGAGGAGGAGGAGGAGAGGGAUAGGGCCUCGUAGCCACUGCCGCGCGGCACGAACACAAUGGCGGUGAAUGGCUCUUUUACUUAGCGCUGUCGCUCUGUCCGCUCGUUCUCGUCUGCUGCUGCUAGGCGACAACAUCAACAACAACAACAACAACACAACUACAGUCCUGCCACACGCACAGCCACACACCGUCACACACACACACGUGCAUGGACAGACGCCUUUCCGUCGCCCCCGACAGCUCAAGGUGCUCAUUCAUUCCACAGCGGCACUGCAAAGCAAGCAGAGAGCAGCACCCGACCCAAGAAUGAUAAUGCAAUUCGCUGCUGUCUCCUUGCACCUCACCAGCUAUUAUUAUACCUCUUGGAUCUUGGAUUGUGCUAAAACUGGACAACCUCAAAAGGCAAAACAAGACCGUAGUACGGCACCCCUCUUAAUACAUUCCGUGAUUUAUCCUGACUGGGAUAUACAUAUAUACUCACAUCCAACUUUCCGGGACUUUCCAACGUCGCCAAAUUAGGAAAUGGCUUCUACCGCAACACUGAUGCCGAUGAGGCGGCAACACCUGCUGGGAAGUCGACGACGAACAUUACAUUCUUCUAGCAUUGAUGCGCCACGCUUGGCAACUUUUAUUGCAAUGAAGAGCGUUUUCGUUUAUUGAGCGACUUAUGAUAAAAAAAUCCUCGAUGCGCAGUGCAGUGCAGCCUCACACAUGCGCGCUGAUGCGAUGAAUCAGGUCGGGGGCCCGAACACCGCCAGAAAGGCCCGUAGAAGGCGAAGAACAUGCUUCUGCAACCAUGAGGGGUUGCGAGCUGGCUCCAGUAAAACACACACCACACCACACCACACCACACCACACCACACCACGCUCUCCUCCUACGCCUCAUCCUCCUGCUGCUGCUGCUGCUGCCGCUUCUGCUGCUGUUCUUCCUCCUCCACCACCACACCCCAGACUCCAACAGCUAGGCCAACAUGUGCAAACGCACACAAACCCACAACACACAUACGCACACAUACGCACACACACAAAACACACACACACACGAUUUUCUUUUCCCCUGGUAUUCCCCACAUCCACCCGCCGUUUCGGGGAUGAGGCCCAUCACAGGCUGUGGGGUCGCCCUAAAACGCCACCAUCCCACACGCGGCAAAGGUAGAGCACUUAUCCCGGAGGUCCUCCCUUCGGCGUCAGGUUAUAGGUUGGCUUCUUCGCCUCCAUCCAGGAGGGUUGUGUGUAUGUAUGUGUGUUGUUGCGUGUGUGUGUAUGUGUGUGUGGCCACUAGCCUCCCCGCCACUGCCCUUGCGACUCCGUCGAGAGCAUACAAGACGCACGCAGACAUACACACACACAAACACACACACCCCUUCCAACCCCCCAAACUUGCACUCACCCACUCAAAUCGCACUUACAUAUGUACAUACAUACACGUUGCGAUACGACAGAUAUGCAAAGGCGCGGCAUAGUAUGUCGCUGCACAGAUUCAAAUGGAUCUCGACAGAGGCCGGGAGAAAACCCUCCCUCAGCAGUACGGGGGUAUUAGUUGCACCGGGGGCCCUGCUGGCGGACGGUGGUGUUGAAGACCUGCUAGCCGACCGGGAGUGUGUGUACUUCACACACCAUACACACAUACAUACAUACGGUGUACACAAGCACAGACAGCACCGCGAUGCGCUCACUGGCCUCACAUGCAUUCAAAAUUGGUUUUUGGCCAAGCCUUGCCCGGCUGUCUUGGCUCGCUAGCGCAAAAUCAAAUGAAGAUUCGCAACGCUUAUUAUCAAUUCUCUCCAAAAAAGGACAAGCACCCAUUCCAACAGGUUGUUAUUGGUAUCAAGGGUUAGCACAAGGGCACAAACCGUCCACCUCUUCCCCUCCCAAGCACCGAUUCCGCAGCAGCUCCUCCGUUCAGCUGCUCUGCCGGCGGACAUCCCAUCCUCCCACUAUUAUUUAGGUUCUCGGACAAGAGCUUGGACAAGGGGUUCACACGAUUAUACCUUUUAUCUUUAUUUAGGACAAUGAUACUACAGUGAUACAAUGAUAAUAUAACAUAAUAUAAAUAUAAUAUAACAAUAACAUUGCGAAUCAAGUGGCAAUGCAAACAGCACGGGGCGCGACUGCGACAAAGAUCCUCUCGUCCCUUCGCUUUUCCAAAAUCUGCCUUUUUCUUCUACCCGGUCUCAGCUGAUUCUCAGCCCGCUCCUGAUCGGAUACGACAGCGUGUGGAUGGAUGUGUAGAGCCUCCAAAUCAACAGCAACAACAGGAACAGACGGACGUAGAGCCGCGCGCCUGCCCCUGCGCUGUGUUUCGGCCCCCGGUCCGGGGGCCCCCGACGGUGCUCUCGGUCCUUUAUCGGGACGAGAGCCGCCCACAGUGUAGCACCCCUUCAUCAACAACAAACAGCAUCAACAAGAGCAACAACGGAAAAAGUGAUAAGCGGAUACUUGCCGCCACCCCCACCCACACGGCACCUUGGCACUGCCAAGUGUUCUUCAACAUCCUCCUCCUCCUCCACCUCUUGCUCCUCCUGCUCCACCUCCUCCACCUCUUGCUCCUCCUGCUUUUCACGGAACGCCGAGGUGCCGGUGCCCAGUCGAUGGCAGUGCAAGGGGGCUUCCCAAAGGGGGACAUGUCGCCCUCUUCCCUCCCCGCCCUCCCGAUCACCGACGGAGGAAAAGAAAAAACACGCAGAGACGCACUCGCUGGGCCCCUCGCGCCAUUCGUCCAUAUCGUGCCAUGGUGCGUCAUGGUCGUGUGGUUAGUUCUUUAGUUUUGUUAGGAAAGCACAAAAACAUGAUCUACAUGUGUCGUACACGCACCCUGACUCGUGUCGUGCGGCGUGUGCAUGUAUACGGCAUGUAUGUACGUAUGUAUGUAUCAUGUAUGUACGUGUGUAUGUGUGUUACCAAAACCCGUUUGCCGUCUUGAGUGAGCAAAAAGGGCCAACCGGGUAACCGUCCCGACCAAUUCAGGGGGGUUCAACCGUUCGGUCAAGAGCAAGAUCCGAAACCAUAUACACAUCAACGGAAUGUACGUCAUCAUUCUGGUCCUAACACAACACAUACAUACAUGCAUGCAUGCAUGACGAAUGUAUGCAUGAGGAAUGCACAUACAUAUGUAUAAAUUUACAUACAUACGUACAUGUACGCACAUAUAUUUCGAGCGAUGCACCAUCAUCAUCAUCAUCAUCAUCAUCAUGUACUCGCGCUGCGCUUUGGCUUGCGGGAUAAUACGGCUAGGAGAGGGCCGGGCGCCUCCACCUCCCACCAGGCAGAGAUUCACAAGUGACCCGGGGGGUGGAAGGAGCCGCGGGGGGGGGGAUUCCAAAGCAAAACACACCCACACGACGCAACACGACGCAACACACCCACGUCGCCUGCCUUCCUUACCGUUGUGUGGCCGCGACAGCCCAUCGGCGCAUCAGCGCCCCUCGACAAAUGAACCUGUUUAAAAACCCUAAACCCCUAAACCCUAAGCCAUCUCAUAUUAUUGUUAGCGACUCGCGGCGGCCUGAAGAGGAGGGGACUUGAGGGCGGCGGCGGCAGCAUCAGGAGCAUGCGAAUGCGGAUGCUACGUGAGAUCUCCUCGGUUAGAUCUCUUUUCCCCCCCCCCCGCCCCCCCGGGGCCCCCCCCGCCCUCAGCGAUGUGUUUUGAUGGCCCUCCCAAGGUUCUGAGCUCCUUAGAUGUCAGGGCCGCUUUCCCUCGGAUCAAAGCCACUACCACUGCCGUACCCUACCGGCGACGGAGCCCCCCCCGCGGAGGACGACGAUGGUGGUGGUGGUGGUCGUCGCCGAGAAGCUCCAACCACGGUCCAUAUCUCUCCCCCCCUUUCCUCCUCCUCCUCCUCCUCCUCCGACCCUUCCCCGCUCCUCUUGCACACACCCUCGUGCUCAACCAGCUUUCCGCCGUCCGGAAAGACCCGUCUACACUGCCGUACUGUCAGUACCACGCGCACCGUCUCCAAUGCCGGCGCCGCUGCCACAACGGCUCCCGACAGCUGCUGCUCCGCCGAGGCUGCCGCCGAGGCUGCCGCCGCCGCCGCCGCCACCAUCACCCUCGUUAGCGACGGACGCAAGCUGAAGGCCAUCCGCCACCGCCGCCGCCGCCGAAGCCGCCGAAGCCGUACCACCACUGCCACCACCGUCAGAGCCCAGAGCCGCCCGCAGACCCAUCAUGGAGCUGAAAAUGGCGGCUGUGGAGGCGCGACGAGCGCGGUGGGUGCGGAGGGCGCCGGCGGAUGACCGCUUCAUGGCGGGGGAGCCGGCGGCGCCGCCGACGGCCUCCACAGCCGCGGCGGCGGCAGCUGCUGCCGCUGCCCGGGGGCCGCUGUUGGCCCGCAUCCCCAUGCCGUACUCCAGCGCCCGCCCGCUUGUCCGCUCCUCGUCCCCGAGCCCCCCACCCACCCAGCGGAAGGUACUCAUGACGCCGAUGCCCUUCACCUGAGGACGGGAAAGGAGGACGUGAAUGUAUGAUGUGUGAAAGAGGGGGGUGUAUCUUCGCCCGUGGCAGCUACCCUGCGAAACCCUGCCUUCCCCGCGGGUAUUUCAGGGCACCCUCAUCCAGUCACCCUAGUCAACUUCUCAAUGGAACGCUCAGGUUCCGCACCCACCACCAGCAUCCAUCGGAAUCUGCCGGGUCGACAGCGGCGCAACUCCAUUCCUGGUUGGCUCGCAGGAUAACUUUAUCCCAGGUCACCACCGUCCAUCAACUAGGGGCGCAAUGCCUUCCACCAUCGGAAGGACUUUGACCCUAAUGGGUAUCGAUCCCGGGAUCUCCCGGGGGCAAUGGUCGCGCCUUACCAGUAGUGCCAAACCCUAUGUAUGUAUGCAUGUACGUAUGUGUGUGUUUUUAAGGUCUGAGCCUCGAUUAGGGAAAUACUGAUGGACCCACCUCUAUCGCAUACAUACAUACACACACCACCCCCCUACCUGCACCCCCCCCGUGGGCUCCCACUCCUCCUCGGGUAGUAGCGCCCGGGUGGCCGCGCUGACGUGUAUGGCCCCCGGGGUGCACGUGCUCUCCAUGCGGCUAGCAGUAUUCUGACGGGGUGAUGAGGGGGGUGGUGGGGGGUGGUGGGGGGUGAUGAGGGGUGAUGAGGGGUGAUGGGGGGUGAUGGGGGGUGNNNNNNNNNNNNNNNNNNNNNNNNNNNNNNNNNNNNNNNNNNNNNNNNNNNAGGGGUGGGAGGGGGGUGAUGAGGGGGGAAGGUGGACGACGAUAACACCAGCAGACGGCGGGUGUAGGACCAACAGCGGCCACUGCGGGACCCCUCGGGAAGACUGUGUGGAUGGAUGAGAGGGGGGGACAGUGUGUGGUGUGUGGGGGGACAAGGCGCCCCUCCAACUCGCAACUGGAGCAGAGUGCUUCGGCGGUAUCCCUGUGAUGUGUGCGGUGCGGUUAGGUGCGGCAACUCCUUUGAUAUCUCUCUAUCAGCGUUUUGGACAUUACAUUACGAGUUGAAAGGAGAGCUGGCCCCAUGCCCCGGUCAGUGUCGGCCAGGCAGAUGUAUAACAAAUACAUACACAAAUACACACAUACGUGCACACAUACAUACACACAUGCAUACAUUCAUACAUACACAAGUACACACAAGUACACACAAGUACACACAAGUACACACAAGUACACACAAACAUACAGACACUAUCCGUACUCCUUACCACGGUGUCCCCGAACAGACAGAACCGCGGCAUCUUGGCCCCCACAAUGCCGCUCAUGACGGCGCCCGAGUGGAGACCGAUCCUCAUCUCAACGGGGCGCCGCGUGGUGGGCAGCAACACCCGGGAAGCCUCGCGAAGCAUGGCCUGAUCAGGAAAUACACAAGACGUACAUACAUACGCACAUACAUACAUACACACAUACAUACAUACACACAUGCAUACACACAUUCAGUUCAAUUAAAAAGCACCGCGCGAUGGACAGAUGGCAUUUCAUGCGCACGCUCAAGGAAGGGUGGGAUAUUUUCGCGCGCGCACGCACGCAGGGUAUUUUCCAAUGUUUAUUAAACUCUUAUACCUUCCAAUUCAUGCAUAUGUUUUUGCCAUCAUCCCUGGUUGGAUAUACGCAAACCAGUUUCCCUUCUGAGUACUCUUGAGACUGUUACACUCAUGUUCUUUAAACUGCACCUCCGGUAUAUAAUACCGGAACGGCUCACUGCUACUGCUGCUACCGCUGCUGCAGCUGCAGCUGCUCCUGCUUCUUCUGCCGCUUCUAAGGAGGAAAUGUAGCGGCUCUCGAUAUACAUAUAACAUAUUCUCUUCGAUUCCCCCCCCCGUUUUCAACGUUGCGUGAUUGGCCAACGAUGUUCUCCGUCCCCUUCGGAUUGCCACCUCGAUUUAGGAACACACAUACAUACAUACAGACAGACAGACAACAUUGAACACAUAAUACGCACAUGACGCACACAUAGCAGGCGGCUGGCAGAGGUUAAGGCCUGACUUCUGCUCCCAGUCGACCCAGUCGACCCGGGUUCAAAUCCGCCUGCCGGCUCCUCGGGUGUUUGAGGAGUGAUGAAAUGGGAGGUGUCCCCCCAUCUUAUGGACGGUGUAGGACGUGAUAAUAUCAACUUGCGAGCUGACCAGGAACUAAGUUGAUGCGCCGUUGAUCCGCUAGAUUUGGUUGGAUGCUGGUGGUGAGUUGCCGAACCCAACGAAUACAUUCUGAAGUCGGAUGGGGUGACGGAUUAGGGUGCCCCUCUAGCAGGGGAGAGCAGGGACUGCCCCGGGAAAGGGGGCCGCUGGCGAAGUUAACCACCCUGUAACAACAUACAUAGCGUAUGUAUGUAUGCAUGUCUGUCUACCUUUGCAAAGGCCAUGACCUUGGCCGCAUGUAGCUCGUCCACGCUGUCCGGACCCCGUACGGCCAUGAAGCCAUCCGAAUCCCGGGUCAUAAGGCCCCCCGCCACCAUGUAACAGUCUGGAAAGUGUACGGGAGGGGAAACAAUGCAUACACAUAUACACGUACAUACACGCACAUCACGGUAUGGGAUGAAAUUGCGGAUUGGCGUGUGUGUAUGUGUGUAUGUGUGUGUAUGUGUGUAUGUGCAUGUGUGUGUGUUGUCAGGGACGACACCCAAGGAGAAUGAAGAACACGCUGCCCCCCUAGAUAUUUUUUUAAAUUUCAUCUAACAAUCUCAAAAAAGGCAUGAUGGCAUAAUAAGUAAGUACGCAGUAAGGCACGAAAAGUCUCUUUACCUUUCCACCGUGGCGUACGGCCGACCACGGCAGACAGGCAUGGACUGAGUUUGACUCGCGUCAGGUGGCCACCCCCCCCCCGCUUCCUCAACAUCAACAAUACACGCGACACGCCAGCCCCCCUCCCUCUUUACCGCGGCGGAUAUGUUUGUAUGUAUGCCCGAAUAUACCCGAGUGAACUUCCCCUUCCUACCACGCGUUUCACCCCUUCACCCCCCGCCCCCAUGCACUACACGUACGUGUGUGUAUGUGUACUACACACGCCGUACACAGGUGGUACAAGUCCCGCCUGAUGGCCACCUCUUUCCCCCCCCCCUCGGGGCUCUCACCGCCGAUGGUCUCCACUUUAUACACGCCGUACACAUCCAGCAGUGUGUCUGCCCAUACCAGAAAGAUGGAGGGGGGGAAAGGGAGUGAAGGGGAGUGAAGGGGAAAGGAGGAGAGGUAUGUCUGUCUAUCUGUCUGUCUGUCUGUCUGUCUGUCUGUCUGUCUGUCUGUCUGUCUGUCUGUCUGUCUGUCUGUCUGUACAAGUAGUGGGAUAAGACCACGGCAUCGCGCAAGGAUACAGCGCCCACGGGCAUAUCACGGUUACCGGUUGGCUGUCACAAAGCUUCCCCCUUCCCACCCUC
Molecule: long non-coding RNA, 43501 nt
Filed under: Volvox carteri
Lineage: Eukaryota; Viridiplantae; Chlorophyta; Chlorophyceae; Chlamydomonadales; Volvocaceae
Description: long non-coding RNA (VCAR_LNC001816)
Source: RNAcentral